CGAACCGAGCGAACGUUGUUCGGAAUCACUGGGCUUAAAGGGUGCGUAGGCGGGCUGCCAAGUUUGAGGUGAAAUCCUCCGGCUCAACCGGGGAAGUGCCUUGAAUACUGGCGGUCUGGAGGGAGGUAGGGGCGUGCGGAACUAACGGUGGAGCGGUGAAAUGCGUUGAUAUCGUUAGGAACUCCGGUGGCGAAGGCGGCACGCUGGACCUCUUCUGACGCUGAGGCACGAAAGCCAGGGGAGCGAACGGGAUUAGAUACCCCGGUAGUCCUGGCCCUAAACGUUGAGAACUAGGUAGCAGGCCGGACAUGGGUUUGCUGCCGGAGCAAAAGUGCUAAGUUCUCCGCCUGGGGAGUAUGGUCGCAAGGCUG
Molecule: ribosomal RNA, 371 nt
Filed under: uncultured organism
Description: bacterial SSU rRNA
Rfam family: Bacterial small subunit ribosomal RNA
Source: RNAcentral